GAGCUCCUGUGUGAGGACUGCGCUGACGUCAUGGUCACAGCGUGACAUCGUCUGCCGUAUGUGAAAAGCUCCGAGCAUCACCCAGGCCGUGUGUGUUAUUCAAAACCUCAGUAACAUUUGCUAAAAACUUGCAUGGGCUUUUUUUUUUUUUUUUCUUUCUUUUUUUCCCCUUAACAGAUCCGGAGAAGUUUAGCCAAGCAGCUUAAACAUCUCACUACCAAUUUAGAAGAUGAGCUGGAAGGUUUUGGACCGUGGUGUGUAAUUCACCUGGAUUGCAACAGUGUGUGCUGGUCUGGAAAAAAGUGUGCCAUUGAACCCAGAGUUUCAAUGCCAUUGCCCUCGUCUGCCCUUUCUAAAAGUAUCUCCGAAAAUGAGGUUAUUUUUGAAGGACAAUGUUAUAACCAACUUGGCUUCAGCAUGCCUUGCCACAACAAUGCCUUUAAGUGUCACAUGCUGGCUGGCUGAGCCAGUGACACUGUAUUUCCCUGUGCCCAGUAAGGAUGAAAGGCUCUGAACCAAGUCAUGUACUGGAUGGAGAGUAUUAAAGACAUGGAAAUGUGGAAGAAUGUGCUGAAGAAGAGGCUAGAUUAACUCUCAAUACUUUUAGCCUUUAUUAGGAAAGGUAGGUUUGGGUCCUCUUUUUUUUUCUUAUAUUUCUGUAAAUGUGAUUAAUUUCAAAUAGAGCUGCUCUUAUUUAGAGGAAGAAGAGCUUUGAAUUCACUGAGAUUUCACCAAGGUGCUUUUUGGUGGGUCUAAGCUGUUUACUAAGUAAAUUGGGUGGGAUGGUAACAGUUGUUACAGAACCCCUUAGAGCAUGUUUUUUUCCAUCUCCUAGCAUCUGUAAUAAGUAGAUUAUGAACAUAAAAGCCUUCCCUGGUACAGUGUUGGGAACUCUUGACAGAGGUGAAAAGCACUCUCUGUUCACAGCCCACAUGGGGCUCUGACCUCUGUCAUGCUUUUCAUCCAUCAAACGUCGCUAGGUAGAGUUUAAAGAAAUAGGAAGUACUGUCUGAGGCUAGGAAAUGAGACCACUUACUUUGUAGUGAUCGUGGCUCUCUGAGUCUCCAUACGGACUUCGGUAUCCCCAAAAAGCUAAAAUUUCAUUUUUAGGCUGACCUUGGAACUAGGGAUGGGAGGCUGCUUGUAGAAAUCUUGUGGGCAGCCAGCCGGACUACUGCAGUGCUAAGGAAAGAAGCCAUCCUCCCUUGGACUGCACCCCAAGCAGACCCAGCCUAGGGAUGGAAAACCAGCAUUCCUCCUCGGAGAAGCCCAAAUUUCCACUGGUUAAUUCCUGCUGUAUUGCACCACUUUGGGGGCCAUAGCAUGACAGGAGAAGCGAGGGCAUCGCUGCCCAGAGCUGGGACAUGUGUGGGUCAGCUAACCUGUGCUCUGAGCAAUUCCUCUCACAAAACACCUGUCUUACGACAAAGGCACAUAUAGCCCUGUCCCUCAACAUUUAAAACUCUGACUCUUGGUAUAGGAAAAGCCUCCAAAUCAAGGCCAUGUAUGGUAUAGUUGUGAAGAGAGUGGUGAGCUGGUGGAAAUGGCACUGCCAGUGAUGUAGCAACUCUGAUAUUGGGCUACCAGUCCAGUUGUCCCUGGGAUUUUAACGCCACUGCUGAGUUUCGAUCUGACAAAUGAACCUUAAAACUCAAUUUAUGCAGAAAUGACUGUUUAAAUCUGGUUACUUCUCCUUUCUUUGUGCAGGUGGCUUUUCUAGGUUGUCUGCUUUUUCCACGAUGACUUCUAGGCACUGCUAGGGGGGACUAGGUUGUCCCUUCCCAGCAGAGCCCUGAGCACACGGGUAGGUAUCCUCCAGGCAGGGCUGCAGGAUGCUUCUUAAUCUGGAAAUGGGGAAAAACACCCACCAUGAGAGCGUUUGCAGUGCUUUACUAAAUAUGUAAUAGAUACUAAAGUCUCCAGGACUUUGGAAUCACAUGGACUGACUUUUCGUGCAAUGCUAUAUAGUAUUUAGGUAGAAGGUUAAAAGUACACUUACUCUAAAAUAAACCUAUACUGUAACAUGGAGGCA
RNAcentral lists this long non-coding RNA (2032 nucleotides) under Calidris pugnax (ruff). RNAcentral describes it as "lncRNA (ENSCPUG00000000443.1)". The record is from RNAcentral. Lineage: Eukaryota; Metazoa; Chordata; Aves; Charadriiformes; Scolopacidae.